UCUAGACGAUACGUUAAGUGACGUGUCCACACAGAUUGUCUGAUAACUGUCACGAGCAAAGCAGCCCGUCGGCGGCUUUUUCCUGUUCGCCCGGCGAGCAAGGUAAGCGCCAUUGGCGGCUGAGCGAAGUUACCACCGCUUUUGCGGUCAGGGUUGCCCGCUUGCCUUACUGAAAGCAGUGCUUCCCCGCCAAAGUAUCGCGGUGCGUUGCCCGCGUUUUACGAGUCCCCUUCGUCUAGUGGCCUAGGACACUGCCCUUUCACGGCGGUAACAGGGGUUCGAACCCCCUAGGGGACGCCACUUUGCUUUCUAUUUCAGAGCGCGUUUAUCAAGCGCGCUGCGAAAUACCGCUCUUUAACAAUCCGGAACAAGCUGAAAAUUUGAAACACAUGCUGAAGUGCAAACUCAGUAUGCGAAUCUCUCAAACGAAGUAAGCAAACCUGAGAUAACGCGCAAGCGUUAUCACUGUACUGCGACAGGCACUGUCGUUUCCGCGCGGUCUUCACAGACUACGCCGGGGCGAGAGUGAGCGAGCGGUGACAGGGCAAGGCGCACGGCACGCAGGCACCGUAGUGGACGUGAUGUCCAUGAGGAUGCCGAGUACCGCGCAACGCCGGAUUUCGGUCGUGCAGCCCGUCGGACAAGGUGCAAACAGCUCAGGGUUGUGA
RNAcentral lists this unclassified non-coding RNA (668 nucleotides) under Candidatus Sodalis pierantonii str. SOPE. Its description in RNAcentral is "Candidatus Sodalis pierantonius str. SOPE miscellaneous RNA". The stretch from base 353 to 469 matches the Rfam family "Salmonella enterica Typhi npcRNA 44". The record is from RNAcentral. Lineage: Bacteria; Pseudomonadati; Pseudomonadota; Gammaproteobacteria; Enterobacterales; Bruguierivoracaceae.